CUGCGAGUUCGCGGGAGAGUAAGUUAUUGCCAGGGUUUUUAUUUUAUAUUUUAAAUGUUGAUUUUAUUUUUUAUGUUUUUAGAUGUUCAUGUUUUUGAAUGUUUUAUUCCCAUAAUAUAAAAAAUAAAAUAUAUAUUGACAUGGAUUAAACAAAGAUAUAUAUUAUUCUAUGUUGCAUAAACAAAUUGGCAAAAUACAGAUGGAAGAUAAAAAUAUGGCCAAGGUAAUAAGAGUCUAUGGUGAAUGCCUAGGA
RNAcentral lists this unclassified non-coding RNA (253 nucleotides) under Borreliella garinii. RNAcentral's name for it is "partial miscellaneous RNA". Lineage: Bacteria; Pseudomonadati; Spirochaetota; Spirochaetia; Spirochaetales; Borreliaceae. The record is from RNAcentral.